RNAcentral lists this ribosomal RNA (403 nucleotides) under uncultured bacterium. Its description in RNAcentral is "partial 16S ribosomal RNA". It matches the Rfam family "Bacterial small subunit ribosomal RNA", at positions 30 to 526 of the family's 1533-position model. The record is from RNAcentral.
AUUGAACGCUGGCGGCAGGCCUAACACAUGCAAGUCGCGCGAGCGGCGGACGGGUGAGUAAUGUAUGGGGACUGCCCGAUAGCGGGGGAUAACUACUGGUAACGGUGGCUAAUACCGCAUACUAUCGGCUGACCCAUAUGGGAUUAGCUAGUAGGUGGGGUAAAGGCUCACCUAGGCGACGAUCUCUAGCUGGUCUGAGCGGCUGAUCAGCCACACUGGGACGGAGACACGGCCCAGACUCCUACGGAGGCAGCAGUGGGGAAUAGUGCACAAUGGGAGCAAGCCUGAUGCAGCCAGGCCGCGUUUACGAAGAAGGCCUUAGGGUUGUAAAGUACUUGCAGCGGGGAGGCGUUACCCGCAGAAGAAGCACCGGCUAACUCCGUGCCAGCAGCCGCGGUAAUAC